This 1461-nucleotide ribosomal RNA is filed under the name Sutterella seckii. RNAcentral describes it as "partial 23S ribosomal RNA". It matches the Rfam family "Bacterial large subunit ribosomal RNA", at positions 1493 to 2925 of the family's 2925-position model. The record is from RNAcentral. Lineage: Bacteria; Pseudomonadati; Pseudomonadota; Betaproteobacteria; Burkholderiales; Sutterellaceae.
GGGUGUUGGAUAUCCCGGUUUGCGAGCGUAGGAAGCCGGCAGGCAAAUCCGCCGGCGAAUUUCCGAGGCGAAGCAUCGAGGCUGGUUUCAGCUGAAGUGACUGAAUGGACUUCCAGGAAAAGCUUCUAAGCAUCAGCCUGCAAUUGACCGUACCGCAAACCGACACUGGUGGGCGAGCUGAAUAUGCUCAGGCGCUUGAGAGAACUCAGGAGAAGGAACUCGGCAAAUUGACACCGUAACUUCGGGAUAAGGUGUGCCUUUGUAGUGUGAAGGGAGAAACGCCCCGAGCAUGAAGAGGUCUCAGAGAAUUGGUGGCUGCAACUGUUUACUAAAAACACAGCACUCUGCAAAGACGAAAGUCGACGUAUAGGGUGUGAUGCCUGCCCGGUGCUGGAAGAUUAAUUGAUGGGCUGCAAGGUCCUGAUCGAAGUCCCAGUAAACGGCGGCCGUAACUAUAACGGUCCUAAGGUAGCGAAAUUCCUUGUCGGGCAAGUUCCGACCUGCACGAAUGGCAUAAUGAUGGCCACACUGUCUCCUCCUGAGACUCAGUGAAGUUGAAGUGUUUGUGAUGAUGCAAUCUCCCCGCGGCUAGACGGAAAGACCCCAUGAACCUUUACUGCAGCUUUGCAUUGGACUUUGAACCGAUCUGUGUAGGAUAGGUGGGAGGCAGUGAAGCUAGGACGCCAGUCUUAGCGGAGCCAACCUUGAAAUACCACCCUGAUUUGUUUGAGGUUCUAACCUGGGAGCGUAAUCCGCUCCGGGGACCGUGCAUGGUAGGCAGUUUGACUGGGGCGGUCUCCUCCUAAAGGGUAACGGAGGAGUGCGAAGGUACGCUAGGCACGGUCGGAAAUCGUGCUGAUAGUGCAAUGGCAAAAGCGUGCUUGACUGCGAGUCCGACAAGACGAGCAGAUACGAAAGUAGGUCAUAGUGAUCCGGUGGCUCUGCAUGGAAGGGCCAUCGCUCAACGGAUAAAAGGUACUCUGGGGAUAACAGGCUGAUACCGCCCAAGAGUUCAUAUCGACGGCGGUGUUUGGCACCUCGAUGUCGGCUCAUCUCAUCCUGGGGCUGUAGCCGGUCCCAAGGGUAUGGCUGUUCGCCAUUUAAAGAGGUACGUGAGCUGGGUUUAAAACGUCGUGAGACAGUUUUGUCCCUAUCUGCCGUGGGCGCUGGAAGAUUGACGGGGGCUGUUCCUAGUACGAGAGGACCGGAAUGGACUCACCUCUGGUGUACCGGUUGUCACGCCAGUGGCACCGCCGGGUAGCUAUGUGGGGAAAGGAUAACCGCUGAAAGCAUCUAAGCGGGAAACCUGCCUGAAGAUAAGUCUUCCUGGAGGCUUGACCUCCCUGAAGAGUCGUUCGAGACCAGGACGUUGAUAGGUCGGGUGUGCAAGCGCUGCGAGGCGUUGAGCUGACCGAUACUAAUUGCUCGUGAAGCUUGAUCCUAUAACCGUGAAGCUUUUCA